RNAcentral lists this non-coding RNA (102 nucleotides) under Paenalicyclobacillus ferrooxydans. RNAcentral describes it as "Alicyclobacillus ferrooxydans Guanine sequence". It matches the Rfam family "Purine riboswitch aptamer". Rfam says of the family: Riboswitches are metabolite binding domains within certain messenger RNAs that serve as precision sensors for their corresponding targets. Allosteric rearrangement of mRNA structure is mediated by ligand binding, and this results in modulation of gene expression. The record is from Rfam by way of RNAcentral. Lineage: Bacteria; Bacillati; Bacillota; Bacilli; Caryophanales; Alicyclobacillaceae.
GAUGUCGAAUUCCAGAGCCUUCGUAUAAUGCCGGGGAUAUGGCCCUGCAGUUUCUACCAGACGACCGUAAAUCGUUGGACUACGAGGAAGAGCAGAAAUGUC